Small nuclear RNA from Lemur catta (Ring-tailed lemur), 107 nucleotides. The record is from RefSeq and is a predicted model, not a curated record. NCBI's taxonomy places the organism in Eukaryota, Metazoa, Chordata, Mammalia, Primates, Lemuridae.
GUGCUUGCUUCAGCAGCACGUAUACUAAAAUUAGAACAAUACAGAGAAGAUUAGCAUGACCCCUGCAUAAGGAUGACAUACAAAUUCAUGAAACAUUCCAUAUUUUA